This 253-nucleotide ribosomal RNA is filed under the name uncultured bacterium. Its description in RNAcentral is "partial 16S ribosomal RNA". It matches the Rfam family "Bacterial small subunit ribosomal RNA", at positions 524 to 776 of the family's 1533-position model. The record is from RNAcentral.
UACAGAGGGUGCAAACGUUGCUCGGAAUUAUUGGGCGUAAAGCGCAUGUAGGCGGCAUGGUAAGUCGACUGUGAAAGCCCUUGGCUCAACCAAGGAAGUGCAGUCGAAACUGCCAAGCUUGAGUCCCGAAGAGGGUGGCAGAAUGGCCAGUGUAGAGGUGAAAUUCGUAGAUAUUGGCUAGAAUACCAGUGGCGAAGGCGGCCACCUGGGAGGGUACUGACGCUGAGAUGCGAAAGCGCGGGGAGCAAACAGG